Non-coding RNA from Vicia faba (fava bean), 351 nucleotides. Lineage: Eukaryota; Viridiplantae; Streptophyta; Magnoliopsida; Fabales; Fabaceae. The record is from the annotation of a GenBank genome assembly.
AUGGUCUACGCCCCAUUUUCCAUUAGACGACCCAUUCUCCGACCCAUUUUUCCACGACGCCUACCACUGCCAACACCGUCGCCGCCAACACCGUUUCCGCGACGCCUACCGCCUCCAACACCCAACACCGUCAACGGCUCACCGUCGCCGCCCGAUUCAUCGUCGUUUCACAAUACACACUGCCACCUCACAAUACACACCGCCACUCCAUCUUCUUUCUUCAGCGCCAAUUUUUCAAGGGCUCCUCUAUCGCUCCUCUUCUCUGCCAUUUGUCAUCGUCUCUUCAUCGUUCCUUUGUUCGAGUGCUCCUCUGCGGUUCCUCUUCUCUUCCGAUUGUUCAAGGCAAUAUGA